GCGCCCGUAGCUCAGCUGGAUAGAGCGUCGCCCUCCGGAGGCGAAGGUCGAAGGUUCAAAUCCUUUCGGGCGUACCA
RNAcentral lists this transfer RNA (77 nucleotides) under Marinomonas communis. RNAcentral describes it as "tRNA-Arg". It matches the Rfam family "tRNA". Rfam says of the family: Transfer RNA (tRNA) molecules are approximately 80 nucleotides in length. The record is from RNAcentral. RNAcentral also lists the same sequence under 6 other names. Lineage: Bacteria; Pseudomonadati; Pseudomonadota; Gammaproteobacteria; Oceanospirillales; Oceanospirillaceae.